GAAACGACGCAGCGACGCGCGUGGAUGAUGAAGGCUUCGGGUCGUAAAACCUGUCAGAAGGAAAGAAAUGUAUGGUGGUUAAUACCCAUCAUAUUUGACGUACCUUCAAAGGAAGCACCGGCUAACUCCGUGCCAGCAGCCGCGGUAAUACGGAGGGUGCAAGCGUUGUUCGGAAUUACUGGGCGUAAAGCGCGCGUAGGCGGUUUGUCAAGUCAGCUGUGAAAGUCCAUGGCUCAACCAUGGAAGUGCACUUGAAACUGACAGACUUGAGUACUGGAGGGGGUGGUGGAUUCGGUGUAGAGUGAAUCGUAGAUAUCGGGAGGACACG
RNAcentral lists this ribosomal RNA (328 nucleotides) under delta proteobacterium KB2. Its description in RNAcentral is "bacterial SSU rRNA". It matches the Rfam family "Bacterial small subunit ribosomal RNA", at positions 377 to 710 of the family's 1533-position model. The record is from RNAcentral. Lineage: Bacteria; Deltaproteobacteria.